CCGGUCCGCCUCACCGCGUGCACUGGUCCGGCCGGGCCUUUCCCUCUGUGGAACCGCAUGCCCUUCACUGGGUGUGCCGGGGAAACUGGACUUUGACUUUGAAAAAAUUAGAGUGCUCCAGGCAGGCCUAUGCUCGAAUACAUUAGCAUGGUAAUAAUAGAAUAGGACGUGUGGUUCUAUUUUGUUGGCUUUCUAGGACCGCCGUAAUGAUUAAUAGGGACAGUCGGGGGCAUCAGUAUUCAAUUGUCAGAGGUGAAAUUCUUGGAUGUAUUGAAGACUAACUACUGCGAAAGCAUUUGCCAAGGAUGUUUUCAUUUAUCAGGAACGAAACUUAGGCGAUCGAAGACGAUCAGAUACCGUCGUAGUCUUAACCAUAAACUAUGCCGACUAGGGAUCGGACGAUGUUAUUUUUUGACUCGUUCGGCACCUUACGAGAAAUCAAAGUGCUUGGGCUCCAGGGGGAGUAUGGUCGCAAGGCUGAAACUUGCAGACAUUGACGGAAGGGCACCACCAGGGGUGGAGCCUGCGGCCU
This 532-nucleotide ribosomal RNA is filed under the name Colletotrichum cordylinicola. RNAcentral describes it as "SSU rRNA". It matches the Rfam family "Eukaryotic small subunit ribosomal RNA", at positions 722 to 1191 of the family's 1831-position model. The record is from RNAcentral. Lineage: Eukaryota; Fungi; Ascomycota; Sordariomycetes; Glomerellales; Glomerellaceae.